AUGAACGCUAGCGACAGGCCUAACACAUGCAAGUCAGGGGCAGCACAAGGAGCAAUCUGAGGUGGCGACCGGCGCACGGGUGAGUAACACGUAUGCGACCUGCCUGUAAGCGGGGAAUAACCCGUUGAAAGACGGACUAAUACCGCAUAAUACUAAAUUACUGCAUGGUAAUUUAUUUAAACAUUUAUGGCUUACAGAUGGGCAUGCGCAUGAUUAGCUAGUUGGAGAGGUAACGGCUCCCCAAGGCAACGAUCAUUAGGGGUUCUGAGAGGAAGGUCCCCCACACUGGUACUGAGACACGGACCAGACUCCUACGGGAGGCAGCAGUGAGGAAUAUUGGUCAAUGGACGAGAGUCUGAACCAGCCAAGUCGCGUGCAGGAAGAAUGUCCCUAUGGAUUGUAAACUGCUUUUGCAGGGGAAUAAAGUGCAUCACGUGUGAUGUUUUGUAUGUACUCUGCGAAUAAGGAUCGGCUAACUCCGUGCCAGCAGCCGC
RNAcentral lists this ribosomal RNA (494 nucleotides) under uncultured bacterium. RNAcentral describes it as "bacterial SSU rRNA". It matches the Rfam family "Bacterial small subunit ribosomal RNA", at positions 29 to 518 of the family's 1533-position model. The record is from RNAcentral.